This 370-nucleotide unclassified non-coding RNA is filed under the name soil metagenome. Its description in RNAcentral is "partial contains 5.8S ribosomal RNA, internal transcribed spacer 2, and large subunit ribosomal RNA". The stretch from base 1 to 120 matches the Rfam family "5.8S ribosomal RNA", at positions 35 to 154 of the family's 154-position model. The record is from RNAcentral.
GAUGAAGAACGUAGUGAAAUGCGAUAAGUAAUGUGAAUUGCAGAACUCAGUGAAUCAUCGAAUCUUUGAACGCACAUUGCGCCCCCUGGAAUUCCGGGGGGCAUGCCUGUUCGAGCGUCUCAGGGACGAACCCUCGCGCGGGUGUACGCGCGGUCGUGGCUGCGGUGGCGUGCCCGAGGCGGCGGCCACCGCGCUGGAAUCCAUGGGCGGACGCCUGCCGCGUGGCCGAGCGUGAUAUGACGCAUUGGCGCUCGCACGCGGAGAGGCUGCCAGCCCUGGCCCGUCUGUCGGGCGGGGGAGAGCAAGACACGUGAACUCCUCGAAUCAGGUAGGGAUACCCGCUGAACUUAAGCAUAUCAAUAAGCGAGGA